Regulatory RNA element from Rhizobium sp. Leaf306, 56 nucleotides. It matches the Rfam family "terC RNA". NCBI's taxonomy places the organism in Bacteria, Pseudomonadati, Pseudomonadota, Alphaproteobacteria, Hyphomicrobiales, Rhizobiaceae. The record is from Rfam.
CACCAGGACCGGGCCCCUCUGGCAGUUCGCAGGAACUGUGAUGUCGGACUGGAUUG